UCUGGUGACGAUAGCAAGAUGGACACACCUGUACCCAUACCGAACACAGAAGUUAAGCAUCUUAACGCCGAUGGUACUUGG
RNAcentral lists this ribosomal RNA (81 nucleotides) under Tissierella praeacuta DSM 18095. Lineage: Bacteria; Bacillati; Bacillota; Tissierellia; Tissierellales; Tissierellaceae. The record is from RNAcentral.